GACAGAGGUGGCAAGCGUUAUUCGGAUUUAUUGGGCGUAAAGGGCGCGUAGGCGGCCAGGUGCGUCCGGUGUGAAAGCGCUACCGCUCAACGGAGCGACUGCACUGGAUACGGCUUGGCUUGAGUCCGGGAGAGGUGAGUGGAAUUCCUGGUGUAGCGGUGGAAUGCGUAGAUAUCAGGAAGAACACCAGUGGCGAAGGCGGCUCACUGGCCCGGCACUGACGCUGAGGCGCGAAAGCGUGGGGAGCAAACGGGAUUAGAUACCCCGGUAGUCCACGCUGUAAACGGUGGAUACUAGGUGUGGGAGGUAUCGACCCCUUCCGUGCCGCAGGUAACCCAUUAAGUAUCCCGCCUGGGGAGUACGGCCGCAAGGUUGAA
RNAcentral lists this ribosomal RNA (377 nucleotides) under uncultured bacterium. RNAcentral's name for it is "bacterial SSU rRNA". It matches the Rfam family "Bacterial small subunit ribosomal RNA", at positions 524 to 898 of the family's 1533-position model. The record is from RNAcentral.